RNAcentral lists this unclassified non-coding RNA (430 nucleotides) under soil metagenome. RNAcentral describes it as "partial contains 5.8S ribosomal RNA, internal transcribed spacer 2, and large subunit ribosomal RNA". The stretch from base 1 to 120 matches the Rfam family "5.8S ribosomal RNA", at positions 35 to 154 of the family's 154-position model. The record is from RNAcentral.
GAUGAAGAACGUAGCGAAAUGCGAUACGUAAUGUGAAUUGCAGAAUUCAGUGAAUCAUCGAAUCUUUGAACGCAUAUUGCGCUCUCUGGUAUUCCGGAGAGCAUGCUUGUUUGAGUAUCAGUAAACACCUCAACUCUUUUUUCUUUUUUGAAAUUGGAGCUGGACUUGAGUGAUCCCAACGCUUUCUUCCAAGAAAGUGGCGGGUUGCUUGAAAUGCAGGUGCAGCUGAACUUUUCUCUGAGCUAUAAGCAUAUCUAUUUAGUCUGCCUAAAAAACAGAUUAUUACCUUUGCUGCAGCUAACAUAAAGGAGACUAGUUCUUGUGCUGACUGAUGCAGGAUUCACAGAGACAGCUUAGGCUGACUUUGUAAACUCGAUCUCAAAUCAAGUAAGACUACCCGCUGAACUUAAGCAUAUCAAUAAGCGGAGGA